GAUGGUAUAGCUCAGUGGUAGAGCACAUGCUUAGCAUGCAUGAGGUCCUGGGUUCAGUCCCCAGUACCUUCA
This 72-nucleotide transfer RNA is filed under the name Camelus bactrianus (Bactrian camel). It matches the Rfam family "tRNA". Rfam says of the family: Transfer RNA (tRNA) molecules are approximately 80 nucleotides in length. Their secondary structure includes four short double-helical elements and three loops (D, anti-codon, and T loops). Further hydrogen bonds mediate the characteristic L-shaped molecular structure. tRNAs have two regions of fundamental functional importance: the anti-codon, which is responsible for specific mRNA codon recognition, and the 3' end, to which the tRNAs corresponding amino acid is attached (by aminoacyl-tRNA synthetases). tRNAs cope with the degeneracy of the genetic code in two manners: having more than one tRNA (with a specific anti-codon) for a particular amino acid; and 'wobble' base-pairing, i.e. permitting non-standard base-pairing at the 3rd anti-codon position. Lineage: Eukaryota; Metazoa; Chordata; Mammalia; Artiodactyla; Camelidae. RNAcentral also lists the same sequence under 2 other names. The record is from Rfam by way of RNAcentral.